GACGAACGCUGGCGGCGUGCUUAACACAUGCAAGUCGAACGGUGAAGCUCCAGCUUGCUGGAGUGGAUCAGUGGCGAACGGGUGAGUAACACGUGAGCAACCUGCCCCUGACUCUGGAAUAAGCGCUGGAAACGGCGUCUAAUACUGGAUACGAGAAGGGUCCGCAUGGGCACUUUCUGGAAAGUUUUUCGGUUGGGGAUGGGCUCGCGGCCUAUCAGCUUGUUGGUGAGGUAAUGGCUCACCAAGGCUACGACGGGUAGCCGGCCUGAGAGGGCGACCGGCCACACUGGGACUGAGACACGGACCAGACUCCUACGGGAGGCAGCAGUGGGGAAUAUUGCACAAUGGGCGAAAGCCUGAUGCAGCGACGCCGCGUGAGGGAUGACGGCCUUCGGGUUGUAAACCUCUUUCAGCAGGGAAGAAGCGAAAGUGACGGUACCUGCAGAAGAAGCACCGGCUAACUACGUG
This 468-nucleotide ribosomal RNA is filed under the name uncultured bacterium. RNAcentral describes it as "partial 16S ribosomal RNA". It matches the Rfam family "Bacterial small subunit ribosomal RNA", at positions 28 to 507 of the family's 1533-position model. The record is from RNAcentral.